RNAcentral lists this ribosomal RNA (279 nucleotides) under uncultured bacterium. RNAcentral's name for it is "partial 16S ribosomal RNA". It matches the Rfam family "Bacterial small subunit ribosomal RNA", at positions 506 to 784 of the family's 1533-position model. The record is from RNAcentral.
UGCCAGCAGCCGCGGUAACACGAGGGGCGCAAGCGUUAUUCGGAAUUAUUGGGCGUAAAGCGACCGCAGGCGGUCUGUCAGGUCCGAUGUGAAAUCCCAGGGCUCAACCCUGGACGUGCAUCGGAAACCGGCAGACUUGAGUACGGGAGAGGAGAGCGGAAUUCCUGGUGUAGAGGUGAAAUUCGUAGAUAUCAGGAGGAACACCAGCGGCGAAGGCGGCUCUCUGGUCCGAUACUGACGCUCAUGGUCGAAAGCGUGGGGAGCAAACAGGAUUAGAUA